This 337-nucleotide small nuclear RNA is filed under the name Microcebus murinus (gray mouse lemur). Its description in RNAcentral is "7SK RNA (ENSMICG00000022516.3)". It matches the Rfam family "7SK RNA". Rfam says of the family: 7SK was discovered as an abundant small nuclear RNA in the mid-70s but a possible function has only recently been suggested. Two independent studies have found that 7SK RNA binds the CDK9/cyclin T complex (known as elongation factor P-TEFb). Lineage: Eukaryota; Metazoa; Chordata; Mammalia; Primates; Cheirogaleidae. The record is from Rfam by way of RNAcentral.
GGAUGUGAGGGCGAUCUGGCUGCGACAUCUGUCACCCCAUUGAUCGCCAGGGUUGAUUCGGCUGAUCUGGCUGGCUAGGCGGGUGUCCCCUUCCUCCCUCACCGCUCCAUGUGCGUCCCUCCCGAAGCUGCGCGCUCGGUCGAAGAGGACGACCUUCCCCGCUAGAGGAGGACCGGUCUUCGGGUUCGGUCAAGGGUAUACGAGUAGCUGCGCUCCCCUGCUAGAACCUCCAAACAAGCUCUCAAGGUCCAUUUGUAGGAGAACGUAGGGUAGUCAAGCUUCCAAGACUCCAGACACAUCCAAAUGAGGCGCUGCACGUGGCAGUCUGCCUUUCUUU